AUUGAACGCUGGCGGCAUGCCUUACACAUGCAAGUCGAACGGUAACGGGCCUUCGGGUGCCGACGAGUGGCGAACGGGUGAGUAAUACAUCGGAACGUGCCCGAUCGUGGGGGAUAACGAGGCGAAAGCUUUGCUAAUACCGCAUACGAUCUACGGAUGAAAGCAGGGGACCGCAAGGCCUUGCGCGGACGGAGCGGCCGAUGGCAGAUUAGGUAGUUGGUGGGAUAAAAGCUUACCAAGCCGACGAUCUGUAGCUGGUCUGAGAGGAUGAUCAGCCACACUGGGACUGAGACACGGCCCAGACUCCUACGGGAGGCAGCAGUGGGGAAUUUUGGACAAUGGGCGCAAGCCUGAUCCAGCCAUGCCGCGUGCAGGAUGAAGACCUUCGGGUUGUAAACUGCUUUUGUACGGAACGAAAAGCCUUCUUUUAAUACAGGAGGGUCAUGACGGUACCGUAAGAAUAAGCACCGGCUAACUACGUG
RNAcentral lists this ribosomal RNA (482 nucleotides) under uncultured bacterium. RNAcentral's name for it is "partial 16S ribosomal RNA". It matches the Rfam family "Bacterial small subunit ribosomal RNA", at positions 30 to 507 of the family's 1533-position model. The record is from RNAcentral.